This 273-nucleotide ribosomal RNA is filed under the name uncultured bacterium. Its description in RNAcentral is "partial 16S ribosomal RNA". It matches the Rfam family "Bacterial small subunit ribosomal RNA", at positions 524 to 796 of the family's 1533-position model. The record is from RNAcentral.
UACGUAGGGUGCGAGCGUUAAUCGGAAUUACUGGGCGUAAAGCGAGCGCAGACGGUUACUUAAGCAGGAUGUGAAAUCCCCGGGCUUAACCUGGGAACUGCGUUCUGAACUGGGUAGCUAGAGUAUGUCAGAGGGGGGUAGAAUUCCACGUGUAGCAGUGAAAUGCGUAGAGAUGUGGAGGAAUACCGAUGGCGAAGGCAGCCCCCUGGGAUAAUACUGACGUUCAUGCUCGAAAGCGUGGGUAGCAAACAGGAUUAGAUACCCCGGUAGUCC